Molecule: ribosomal RNA, 449 nt
Filed under: uncultured bacterium
Lineage: Bacteria
Description: partial 16S ribosomal RNA
Rfam family: Bacterial small subunit ribosomal RNA
Source: RNAcentral
AGCGAACGCUGGCGGCAGGCCUAACACAUGCAAGUCGAACGGAUCCUUCGGGAUUAGUGGCGGACGGGUGAGUAACACGUGGGAACGUGCCCUUUGGUUCGGAACAACUCAGGGAAACUUGAGCUAAUACCGGAUGUGCCCUUCGGGGGAAAGAUUUAUCGCCAUUGGAGCGGCCCGCGUCUGAUUAGCUAGUUGGUGAGGUAAAGGCUCACCAAGGCGACGCUCAGUAGCUGGUCUGAGAGGAUGAUCAGCCACAUUGGGACUGAGACACGGCCCAAACUCCUACGGGAGGCAGCAGUGGGGAAUCUUGCGCAAUGGGCGAAAGCCUGACGCAGCCAUGCCGCGUGAAUGAUGAAGGUCUUAGGAUUGUAAAAUUCUUUCACCGGGGACGAUAAUGACGGUACCCGGAGAGGAAGCCCCGGCUAACUUCGUGCCAGCCGCCGCGGUAA